GAUGAAGAACGUAGCGAAAUGCGAUAAGUAGUGUGAAUUGCAGAAUUCAGUGAAUCAUCGAAUCUUUGAACGCACAUUGCGCCCCUUGGUAUUCCAUGGGGCAUGCCUGUUCGAGCGUCAUCUACACCCUCAAGCUCUGCUUGGUGUUGGGCGUCUGUCCCGCCCCCGCGCGUGGACUCGCCCCAAAUCCAUUGGCAGCGUUCCUUGCCCCCUCUCGCGCAGCACAUUGCGCUUCUCGAGGGCGGCUCCGGGACGCGAUCCAGCAAGAUGACCACCGUCUUUGACCUCGGAUCAGGUAGGGAUACCCGCUGAACUUAAGCAUAUCAUUAAGCGGAGGA
RNAcentral lists this unclassified non-coding RNA (338 nucleotides) under soil metagenome. RNAcentral's name for it is "partial contains 5.8S ribosomal RNA, internal transcribed spacer 2, and large subunit ribosomal RNA". The stretch from base 1 to 120 matches the Rfam family "5.8S ribosomal RNA", at positions 35 to 154 of the family's 154-position model. The record is from RNAcentral.